Molecule: long non-coding RNA, 725 nt
Organism: Daphnia pulex (common water flea)
Lineage: Eukaryota; Metazoa; Arthropoda; Branchiopoda; Diplostraca; Daphniidae
Exons: 3
Source: RefSeq, a predicted model, not a curated record
CAUGACUGCUGUUAGAUCUUUCAUAUUUAAUUAGAUUAUGUGGUUUCGUAGGGCGAUUUCUGAACGCAUCCGGAUCCUUCCGGAAUUACCGAAGGAGUUUCCCAUCAGGGAAGGGUGUUUGUUCUCUGACUAUACUAAGGGUAUUUCACCUGAGAGAGCCGGUCUUUAGCAAACCUAACUCCGAGAUUAGGGGGGACAGAACACAGCCGGAUUCCAUCAGGUUGCGCAAGCCAAUAAUCAUUUGAAUUAUUAAUGAAGUGGAUGGAAGACGGGAUUACCGUCUGAUAAGAGAUUGAUAUCCACGUUAUCAAGACCGUGUUGACAUGAUCACAAUAAUUUUUAGACACAAUCUGCUACCGGAAACAUUUCCUUUCUAAUAACGUAUAACCCAUCAAGCCAAAAGCGGAACUAUUCGGAACUGUUGGACACGAAGGUACAAAAAUGAAUGAAUGAAUGAAAUCUGGAUUGCCAUCCAGCGAUAUAAAUAGCGCGCCGUUCCAGCCGUCAACUGCUACUCCUUUUAUAGCCACUUGCCGCCGAUUUUCACGAUGCGUCGUUCACUCUACUGCGGAGUUUUUGUUGCUGGUCUGCUGAUGUGCGCGAUUUCUGCGGUCUGAGCAACUCUCCGAUUUCAGUUGUUAUUUCCGGCCAACGUACUGGAUGCCAUCACGAUGCAUAAUGGCACUCCGGGGUUUUCACACUAGAGACACUGCUGCUGACGAGAA